RNAcentral lists this ribosomal RNA (343 nucleotides) under Boletus sensibilis. RNAcentral describes it as "eukaryotic LSU rRNA". The stretch from base 259 to 343 matches the Rfam family "Eukaryotic large subunit ribosomal RNA", at positions 1 to 85 of the family's 3401-position model. Lineage: Eukaryota; Fungi; Basidiomycota; Agaricomycetes; Boletales; Boletaceae. The record is from RNAcentral.
CCAUGCCUUGAUCGACUUCGAGGCAUGGCUUGGAGUUGGGGGUUGCUGGCAGCGAAGAGUUGUCAGCUCUCCUGAAAUGCAUUAGCAAAGGACGGGCAAGUCUUUGACGUGCACGGCCUUCGACGUGAUAAUGAUCGUCGUGGCUGGAGCGUCGGACAUGCAUGAAUCGUUCCCUGCUUCUAAUACCUCGAGUCGCUCCUAGCUACUAGUCGGUCGUGAGGCUGACGAACGUUGGGCAGAGCGUCACCUUUCGAAACUUGACCUCAAAUCAGGUAGGACUACCCGCUGAACUUAAGCAUAUCAAUAAGCGGAGGAAAAGAAACUAACAAGGAUUCCCCUAGUA